AUAAAGUUUAGCCUGCCCACUGAAUAAUUUAUUUAAAGGGCCGCAGUAUUUUGACUGUGCAAAGGUAGCAUAAUCAUUAGUCUUUUAAUUGAGGGCUGGUAUGAAUGGUUGGAUAAGAUACAAGCUGUGUCAUAAAUAUUAAAAAUUGAAUUUCUCUUUUUAGUUAAAAGACUAAAAUUUUUUUAAAAGACGAGAAGACCCUAUAGAGUUUUAUAUAAUUAUUAUUUAAGUUAUUUAGAUUUAUUAAUUUUAGAUAUUAAGUUGUAUUUUGUUGGGGUGACAGUAAAAUUUAUAAAACUUUUAUUAUUUAUAACCAUUGAUUUAUGAUUAAAUGAUCUUAUUUUAUUGAUUGUAAAAUUAAAUUACCUUAGGGAUAACAGCGUAAUUUUUUUUGAGAGUUCUUAUCGAUAAAAAAGAUUGCGACCUCGAUGUUGGAUUAAGAGUAAUUUUGGGUGUAGAAGUUCAAAGUUUAAGUC
Molecule: ribosomal RNA, 476 nt
Filed under: Simulium neavei
Lineage: Eukaryota; Metazoa; Arthropoda; Insecta; Diptera; Simuliidae
Description: partial 16S ribosomal RNA
Source: RNAcentral